Molecule: non-coding RNA, 727 nt
Organism: Benincasa hispida (wax gourd)
Lineage: Eukaryota; Viridiplantae; Streptophyta; Magnoliopsida; Cucurbitales; Cucurbitaceae
Source: RefSeq, a predicted model, not a curated record
AAAAGACCGAAUAAAAACCCUUCAUUUGGGAAUCAGAACGACGUCGCUGAAAGGGUUCUUGCAUUUCUAUGCAAAUCGAGGUCAGUUCUUCUUUGGAGCAGUGAGGUCGGUGACGAUCAAAACUUAGCUGAAAUUUCCUACGGCGAGGAACGGAGAAACGUCGAAAAUCUCGGCGAAAAUGGGAGCAGCGAGUAAAGUGGGCGAUUGGGCGUUCAAGGCCUUUACUGCCGGUCUCGGUGUCGCCACCAUUUAUCUCACUGCUACCUUCUCAGUCAACGUCUACAGAGGAUUGUCUUGGCAUAAAGCUCAAUCCAAAAUCAACGACAAUUCAAAUGAAGAGGCUACAUAAUUUGAAUUUUCAAGCCACGGAACAUCUGCAACAUCUUCAAGUUCAAAUCUCAUUUGUCUACAAAUUUUGUAUGAUCAGGUUCUAAAUUGAUGUCAAUGCUUCAGUUUAUACCUUAUAUUUUAUGGGAAGAACAUACUUUCUGUUUGGACAACUAGCUUAUUGAGGGCAUAAUUCAUACAACUUCAGCAAUUUACUGCAGAACAUUUCAACUAUUCUAAUGGGAAUUUCUUUAGGUACCUUCUUGUGGUAGUUUUUUCUUAUUCAAUAGUUUUGUUGUAUAUCAUUUGAUCCUUUUUUUUUUUGCAUCUCCUUGCUAUGCAUAUGAUGGAAGAUUAGUACCCUAUUUGAGGAUAAUGGUUGUUGGACUCUAUUAAGAAA